CUACGUGCCAGCAGCCGCGGUAAUACGGAAGGUCCGGGCGUUAUCCGGAUUUAUUGGGUUUAAAGGGAGCGUAGGCCGGAGAUUAAGUGUGUUGUGAAAUGUAGACGCUCAGCGUCUGACUUGCAGCGCAUACUGGUUUCCUUGAGUACGCACAACGUUGGCGGAAUUCGUCGUGUAGCGGUGAAAUGCUUAGAUAUGACGAAGAACUCCGAUUGCGAAGGCAGCUGACGGGAGCGCAACUGACGCUGAAGCUCGAAGGUGCGGGUAUCGAACAGGAUUAGAUACCCUGGUAGUCCGCACAGUAAACGAUGGAUGCCCGCUGUUGGUACCUGGUAUCAGCGGCUAAGCGAAAGCAUUAAGCAUCCCACCUGGGGAGUACGCCGGCAACGGUGAAACUCAAAGGAAUUGACGGGGGCCCGCACAAGCGGAGGAACAUGUGGUUUAAUUCGAUGAUACGCGAGGAACCUUACCCGGGCUUGAAUUGCAGAGGAAGGAUUUAGAGAUA
RNAcentral lists this ribosomal RNA (505 nucleotides) under uncultured bacterium. RNAcentral's name for it is "bacterial SSU rRNA". It matches the Rfam family "Bacterial small subunit ribosomal RNA", at positions 501 to 1008 of the family's 1533-position model. The record is from RNAcentral.